GACAGAGGGUGCAAACGUUGUUCGGAAUGACUGGGCGUAAAGCGCGUGUAGGCGGCUCGGCAAGUCGGGUGUGAAAGCCCUGGGCUCAACCCAGGAAGUGCACUCGAAACUGCCGAGCUUGAGUUCUGGAGAGGAAGGCGGAAUUCUCGGUGUAGAGGUGAAAUUCGUAGAUAUCGAGAGGAACACCGGUGGCGAAGGCGGCCUUCUGGACAGCGACUGACGCUGAGACGCGAAAGCGUGGGGAGCAAACAGG
This 253-nucleotide ribosomal RNA is filed under the name uncultured bacterium. RNAcentral describes it as "partial 16S ribosomal RNA". It matches the Rfam family "Bacterial small subunit ribosomal RNA", at positions 524 to 776 of the family's 1533-position model. The record is from RNAcentral.